AGAGACAGCAGUAGCCACGGUAAUACGUAGGGUGCGAGCGUUAAUCGGAAUUACUGGGCGUAAAGCGUGCGCAGGCGGUUUUGUAAGACAGGCGUGAAAUCCCCGGGCUCAACCUGGGAAUGGCGCUUGUGACUGCAAAGCUAGAGUGCGGCAGAGGGGGAUGGAAUUCCGCGUGUAGCAGUGAAAUGCGUAGAUAUGCGGAGGAACACCGAUGGCGAAGGCAAUCCCCUGGGCCUGCACUGACGCUCAUGCACGAAAGCGUGGGGAGCAAACAGGAUUAGAUACCCCGGUAGUCCCUGUCUCUUAUAC
This 309-nucleotide ribosomal RNA is filed under the name uncultured bacterium. RNAcentral's name for it is "partial 16S ribosomal RNA". It matches the Rfam family "Bacterial small subunit ribosomal RNA", at positions 504 to 807 of the family's 1533-position model. The record is from RNAcentral.